Molecule: ribosomal RNA, 253 nt
Filed under: uncultured bacterium
Lineage: Bacteria
Description: partial 16S ribosomal RNA
Rfam family: Bacterial small subunit ribosomal RNA
Source: RNAcentral
UACAGAGGGGGCAAGCGUUAUUCGGAAUCACUGGGCUUAAAGGGCGCGUAGGCGGGUGCUCAAGUCCGUGGUGAAAUCCUCCGGCUCAACCGGAGAACUGCCUCGGAUACUGGGUGCCUCGAGGGUGGUAGGGGUAUGCGGAACUAUCGGUGGAGCGGUGAAAUGCGUUGAUAUCGAUAGGAACUCCGGUGGCGAAGGCGGCAUACUGGACCACCUCUGACGCUGAGGCGCGAAAGCCAGGGGAGCAAACGGG